GGAGCCGGCCAGGCAAUCGCUCCGCACGGUUUUUACCGGGCGGGGAGGAAAGUCCGGGCUCCGCAGGGCAGGGUGCCAGGUAACGCCUGGGGGGCGCGAGCCUACGGAAAGUGCAACAGAAAAGAUACCGCCACGAAACGGUUCGGCCGUCGGGGUAAGGGUGAAAUGGUGCGGUAAGAGCGCACCGCGCAGGUGGCAACACGCUGCGGCAUGGUAAACCCCACCUGGAGCAAGGCCAAAUAGGAAAGCGAUGCCGCGGCCCGCGGCGCUUUCGGGUAGGCUGCACGAGGCCGCCGGCGACGGCGGUCCCAGAUGAAUGAUUGCCACGGGCGAAAGCCCGAACAGAACCCGGCUUAUCGGCCGGCUCCCUCU
This 372-nucleotide RNase P RNA is filed under the name Gammaproteobacteria bacterium. RNAcentral's name for it is "RNase P RNA component class A". It matches the Rfam family "Bacterial RNase P class A". From Rfam's summary of the family: Ribonuclease P (RNase P) is a ubiquitous endoribonuclease, found in archaea, bacteria and eukarya as well as chloroplasts and mitochondria. Its best characterised activity is the generation of mature 5'-ends of tRNAs by cleaving the 5'-leader elements of precursor-tRNAs. RNAcentral also lists the same sequence under 1 other name. Lineage: Bacteria; Pseudomonadati; Pseudomonadota; Gammaproteobacteria. The record is from RNAcentral.